RNAcentral lists this ribosomal RNA (253 nucleotides) under uncultured bacterium. RNAcentral's name for it is "partial 16S ribosomal RNA". It matches the Rfam family "Bacterial small subunit ribosomal RNA", at positions 524 to 776 of the family's 1533-position model. The record is from RNAcentral.
UACAGAGGGGGCAAGCGUUGCUCGGAAUCACUGGGCGUAAAGGGCGCGUAGGCGGGAUGGCAAGUCGGUCGUGAAAUCCUUCGGCUCAACCGAAGAACGUCGGCCGAUACUGCCGUUCUUGAGGGAUGCAGAGGAGAUUGGAAUUCCCGGUGUAGCGGUGAAAUGUGUAGAGAUCGGGAGGAACACCGGUGGCGAAGGCGGGUCUCUGGGCAUCUCCUGACGCUGAGGCGCGAAAGCGUGGGGAGCGAACGGG